This 215-nucleotide ribosomal RNA is filed under the name Escherichia coli. RNAcentral describes it as "partial 16S ribosomal RNA". It matches the Rfam family "Bacterial small subunit ribosomal RNA", at positions 1 to 215 of the family's 1533-position model. Lineage: Bacteria; Pseudomonadati; Pseudomonadota; Gammaproteobacteria; Enterobacterales; Enterobacteriaceae. The record is from RNAcentral.
AAAUUGAAGAGUUUGAUCAUGGCUCAGAUUGAACGCUGGCGGCAGGCCUAACACAUGCAAGUCGAACGGUAACAGGAAACAGCUUGCUGUUUCGCUGACGAGUGGCGGACGGGUGAGUAAUGUCUGGGAAACUGCCUGAUGGAGGGGGAUAACUACUGGAAACGGUAGCUAAUACCGCAUAAUGUCGCAAGACCAAAGAGGGGGACCUUCGGGCC